Molecule: ribosomal RNA, 421 nt
Filed under: uncultured bacterium
Lineage: Bacteria
Description: partial 16S ribosomal RNA
Rfam family: Bacterial small subunit ribosomal RNA
Source: RNAcentral
AUCUUCCACAGUGGGCGAAAGCCUGAUGGAGCAACGCCGCGUGAGUGAAGAAGGCUUNNNGAUCGNACAACUCUGUUGUAAGGNAAGNACAAGUACAGUAGUAACUGGCUGUACCUUGACGGUACCUUAUUAGAAAGCCACGGCUAACUACGUGCCAGCAGCCGCGGUAAUACGUAGGUGGCAAGCGUUGUCCGGAAUUAUUGGGCGUAAAGCGCGCGAAGGCGGACCUUUAAGUCGGAAGGGAAAACCCACGGCGCAACCGUGGAGGGUCAUUGGAAACUGGGGGACUUGAGUGCAGAAGAGGAAAGUGGAAUUCCAAGUGUAGCGGUGAAAUGCGUAGAGGUUUGGAGGAACACCAGUGGCGAAGGCGACUUUCUGGUCUGUAACUGACGCUGAGGCGCGAAAGCGUGGGGAGCAAACA